UGGGGGGUGGUGUAAUAGGUAGCACAGCAGGUUUUGGUCCUGUCAGAGCGGGUUCGAAUCCUGCCCCCCCAG
This 72-nucleotide transfer RNA is filed under the name Acidimicrobiia bacterium. RNAcentral's name for it is "tRNA-Gln". It matches the Rfam family "tRNA". Rfam says of the family: Transfer RNA (tRNA) molecules are approximately 80 nucleotides in length. RNAcentral also lists the same sequence under 1 other name. The record is from RNAcentral. Lineage: Bacteria; Bacillati; Actinomycetota; Acidimicrobiia.